Molecule: ribosomal RNA, 432 nt
Filed under: uncultured bacterium
Lineage: Bacteria
Description: partial 16S ribosomal RNA
Rfam family: Bacterial small subunit ribosomal RNA
Source: RNAcentral
AACGAACGCUGGCGGCAUGCCUAACACAUGCAAGUCGAACGAGACCUUCGGGUCUAGUGGCGCACGGGUGCGUAACGCGUGGGAACCUGCCCUUAGGUUCGGAAUAACUCCCCGAAAGGGGUGCUAAUACCGGAUAAUGUCUUCGGACCAAAGAUUUAUCGCCUUUGGAUGGGCCCGCGUUGGAUUAGCUAGUUGGUAGGGUAAAAGCCUACCAAGGCGACGAUCCAUAGCUGGUCUGAGAGGAUGAUCAGCCACACUGGGACUGAGACACGGCCCAGACUCCUAGGGGGGGAAGCAGGGGGGAAUUUUGGAAAAUGGGCGAAAGCCGGAUCCAGCAAGGCCGGGUGAGUGAUGAAGGCCUUAGGGUUGUAAAGCUUUUUUACCCGGGAUGAUAAGGAAAGAACCGGGAAAAAAAGCCCGGGCAAACUCCGG